UGGGUGCUCGUAGAAGUGGUAAUAACGACAGGAAUGAGAAUACAAUAUAUUUUGGGAAAACUAUGGUGAGAUAAACGAAGCAACUAAGCAACUAACACCAUCAUAGAACAGCGAGUUAACACUUGAACUAUGAUAUUAAUUAAGCAUUGUAAACUUUUUUGUUUUUUUUUGAGCAAGUAUUGUUGCCUGAAUUGAGACGUGAAUCUCAGGUGCUGCUGAUUGCGUAGAAUUUUGUUGGGUGGUCAAAUUUGUCUUCAUUAGAAGAAGCACUAGGACAAAAAAAAAUGAUAUAAAGAAUUUAAGCUAGAGUUAACUGCACGCAUACAACAAAUUAAUAGGAAGCAGUAUAGCAGAUGAUUUGUACCCACUUGGAGACUGGUCAAGACUCAAGAUUCAAAGAUGAUGGACAGAUCACAGCCACAGUGCACGUGUGUGCAUGAUUGCUAGAAUCACCAGUUCAGGGCUCCACUCGUGAGGCACAUCUUGCAGAAAACAAGUGUCGGUGUCGUAAUCAUCCAUGCUGAAAUCCAGGAAGCAGUUCUUCAUCAACUCUCUUCAUCACCUCGUUGGGUUUAAAAUAUGUACAGAUAAGGUGCUUCGGAUCGUCGGAUGACAUUCAACCAUCCAGAUUGAUCGAUGCAAUCUGCAUUCAGAGCCACCGACUGGAGUUACAGAUUUGCACUCGCAGAAAAAAGAAAAAAAGGGAUUGGUGAAGGGAACACCUAAGGGCCCCAUGGCUGCCCUUGCCGGAGAAAAUGCAAGCCAUUGCAAGGUCUGAAUCCAUGUUGGUGAUGGCGAUGGAGAUGUAGAUGGACCCUCACCGGCGCACAUGCGGCAUACAGAAACGCGCAUGCAUGACAAGAGCAAUCAAAUGCCCUACAAGCACAAGCUACGCACAAAUUAUGUCAACUGAAAGGACGGUGCAAAUGUCAUUUUGACCAAUCUGGUGGAGGCAAACAUCUAGCUACCGUCUGAAUUAACCUCAAGGAACGUGCGUGGAGUCCCUAUGGUAAAUCAAACAAAUUGCUGGGUCGUCAUCUCUCACCUUUCAGGUAAUCGCAAACCAAGCUCCUCCCUUUUUAUCCUCAACCAACCAAGUUCCUCUAUAACACAUACGUUGGCUAACUAUGCUUGUCUCUGCCCCUACGUUAUAUGAAGGAGAAGUACACAUCUUCUAUUUCCAGAAGGGUUUAUUAGGCCCCUGUAUUGUAAACGUUAUGGAAAAUUGCUAAUUAGCCCAGCUGCAUUCUCACCACACACCUUUUCAGAUAAAAGUUUCCAUAUGGAACUAUCUGGGAAAAAAAAAGUGUAUGUUGGGAACACAACUGCGCUAAAUAGCAACCCUGAUACACGUAUAUUAUAUUACUACAAGACACGGGCCACUGCCAAGCCCAAUAUGUAUAUACAUGAUGGACUGAAUGUCUCGUAGGCCCGUAGAAAGUCAUGAAAGCACACCAAAAGGGCCCAAGUAUGUACCCAUGCUUGAUGAGUAAGCUGACUAAUCAACUAAUAAAUAGAGAACCCCCAGUAGGUAAUGACCAAUGUAAAGCCCACAUAUACUAGAUUGAAUUGGAUCAAAAUGAU
Long non-coding RNA from Oryza brachyantha (malo sina), 1584 nucleotides. RefSeq lists it as uncharacterized. The transcript is spliced from 5 exons. Lineage: Eukaryota; Viridiplantae; Streptophyta; Magnoliopsida; Poales; Poaceae. The record is from RefSeq and is a predicted model, not a curated record.